This is a long non-coding RNA of Cyprinus carpio (common carp), 827 nucleotides long. RefSeq lists it as uncharacterized. The record is from RefSeq and is a predicted model, not a curated record. The transcript is spliced from 5 exons. Lineage: Eukaryota; Metazoa; Chordata; Actinopteri; Cypriniformes; Cyprinidae.
UAAAGAAUUUCUCAGAAUCAGUUUUAAGAUCAUUUUUAGAUCAAUCAUUUUAAUAAUCCAUGCAUGAAGAAAAUCAAGUUUUACUUUGACAAAGAUUAUUUGACAGAUUAGCCCAUGUCCAUAGUCACUUCUUGUAUAGUCUUUGGUAUAGUGCAAAAAAAGUUUCCUGGAUCAUGAUUACUCUACAGAUUACAUAAACUACUUUAGCACUUUUAGAAGAAUAAGUAAAGAUUUAGUCACAAUUCACUUUUCGUAAUUUCUAAUUGCUUUUCAUUGUCUGUUCCUUUUUACAAACAGCUGAUCUCUGUCCUGAUCCUGGGAUUCCUGCUGGCUGUACAAGAACAGGCCACAUGUUCAAUAUAAAGCUCCCCGAGUGGCGCAGCAAUAUGGCUGCCCACUGCUCCGGGUGUGUUAAUGAUCAGUUAUUACGAGGUCUCCCCAAACUAUGAGAUCCUAAAUUUGAGUAAACAGACGUUACAUGGAUAGUCUUCAAGAUUACCCGUUAGAGAAAGACUGGAGGAUUAUGAAUAUGUGAGUGAUCGAUCAGGAGCUAAUAUCGUCCAGACCUAUGAGAGGACUUUAGAGAGUAUGAAAAUAGAGCAGAUGGAGAAUAAAAAGAAAUUCCAGCAGACCCAACAUAUCAUCAUCAUUCUCACUUAUGGUCAACAUGGAUGGAAAUGCUAGACCAUGGGUGGACCAGAUCAAAGAUCUUGUAAACAAAAUACUUCUUUAGAGGAGGAGGACAACUUGAACUGUAUGUAUUUGUGAUGGGAGACGAUAUGAAUGCUGUGGACAUUAAUGAUUUGGGGACUGACAGGGGAAAUAAG